AAUAGAUACCCGGGUAGUCCACGCCGUAAACGAUGAGUGCUAAGUGUUAGAGGGUUUCCGCCCUUUAGUGCUGCAGCUAACGCAUUAAGCACUCCGCCUGGGGAGUACGGCCGCAAGGCUGAAACUCAAAGGAAUUGACGGGGGCCCGCACAAGCGGUGGAGCAUGUGGUUUAAUUCGAAGCAACGCGAAGAACCUUACCAGGUCUUGACAUCCUCUGCCAACCCUAGAGAUAGGGCGUUCCCCUUCGGGGGACAGAGUGACAGGUGGUGCAUGGUUGUCGUCAGCUCGUGUCGUGAGAUGUUGGGUUAAGUCCCGCAACGAGCGCAACCCUUGAUCUUAGUUGCCAGCAUUCAGUUGGGCACUCUAAGGUGACUGCCGGUGACAAACCGGAGGAAGGUGGGGAUGACGUCAAAUCAUCGUGCCCCUUAUGACCUGGGCUACACACGUGCUACAAUGGAUGGUACAAAGAGCUGCGAACCCGCGAGGGUAAGCCAAUCUCAUAAAGCCAUUCUCAGUUCGGA
This 522-nucleotide ribosomal RNA is filed under the name uncultured bacterium. RNAcentral describes it as "bacterial SSU rRNA". It matches the Rfam family "Bacterial small subunit ribosomal RNA", at positions 777 to 1297 of the family's 1533-position model. The record is from RNAcentral.